AACGAACGCUGGCGGCGUGCCUAACACAUGCAAGUCGAGCGGGAAAGUUCCCUUCGGGGAGCAAGUACAGCGGCGAACGGGUGAGUAACACGUAGGUAACCUACCUUGGAGAUCGGGAUAACCUGCCGGAAAGGCGGGCUAAUACCGGAUAAGACCACGAGGGCUGCGGCCUUGAGGAAAAGAUGGCCUCUGCUUGCAAGCUAUCACUCUGGGAUGGGCCUGCGCGCCAUUAGCAGUUGGUGAGGUAACGGCUCACCAAGGCUGAGAUGGCUAGCUGGUCU
RNAcentral lists this ribosomal RNA (281 nucleotides) under uncultured bacterium. RNAcentral's name for it is "partial 16S ribosomal RNA". It matches the Rfam family "Bacterial small subunit ribosomal RNA", at positions 29 to 293 of the family's 1533-position model. The record is from RNAcentral.